CGCUGGCGGCAGGCCUAACACAUGCAAGUCUAACGGAUCCUUCGGGAUUAGUGGCGGACGGGUGAGUAACACGUGGGAACGUGCCCUUUGGUUCGGAACAACUCAGGGAAACUUGAGCUAAUACCGGAUAAGCCUUUCGAGGGAAAGAUUUAUCGCCAUUGGAGCGGCCCGCGUAGGAUUAGCUAGUUGGUGGGGUAAAGGCCCACCAAGGCUACGAUCCUUAGCUGGUCUGAGAGGAUGAUCAGCCACAUUGGGACUGAGACACGGCCCAAACUCCUACGGGAGGCAGCAGUGGGGAAUCUUGCGCAAUGGGCGAAAGCCUGACGCAGCCAUGCCGCGUGAAUGAUGAAGGUCUUAGGAUUGUAAAAUUCUUUCACCGGGGACGAUAAUGACGGUACCCGGAGAAGAAGCCCCGGCUAACUUCGUGCCAGCAGCCGCGGUAAUACGAAGGGGGCUAGCGUUGCUCGGAAUUACUGGGCGUAAAGGGAGCGUAGGCGGAUAGUUUAGUCAGAGGUGAAAGCCCGGGGCUCAACCCCGGAACGGCCUUUGAAACUAGGUAGCUAGAAUCUUGGAGAGGUCAGUGGAAUUCCGAGUGUAGAGGUGAAAUUCGUAGAUAUUCGGAAGAACACCAGUGGCGAAGGCGACUGACUGGACAAGUAUUGACGCUGAGGUACGAAAGCGUGGGGAGCAAACAGGAUUAGAUACCCUGGUAGUCCACGCCGUAAACGAUGAUAACUAGCUGUCCGGGCACUUGGUGCCUGGGUGGCGCAGCUAACGCAUUAAGUUAUCCGCCUGGGGAGUACGGUC
This 807-nucleotide ribosomal RNA is filed under the name uncultured bacterium. RNAcentral's name for it is "bacterial SSU rRNA". It matches the Rfam family "Bacterial small subunit ribosomal RNA", at positions 34 to 887 of the family's 1533-position model. The record is from RNAcentral.